Long non-coding RNA from Bos taurus (domestic cattle), 1301 nucleotides. The record is from Ensembl. NCBI's taxonomy places the organism in Eukaryota, Metazoa, Chordata, Mammalia, Artiodactyla, Bovidae.
CCUCACCAGGGCACCGAGCGGCCUCCUGGCUGGCACCUCCUGCGCCUGCGUGCGUGUCCUUGCGUGUCUGUGUAUGCGUGUCCGUUCGGGUCCAUGCGUGCGUGUCCGUGAGUGCAGGUCUGUGCGUGUGUGUCCGUGCGCACGUCUCGGUGCCGGCGCCCGUGCGUGCGUGCCCGCGUCCGUGCGUGCGCGUGCGUGCGUGCGUGCGUGUGUGCGUGUCCGUGCGCGCAUGUCCGUGUCCGUGCGUGCGUGUCCGUGCCCGCGCCCUUGCAUGCGUGCCUGCGUCCGUGCGCGCGCGUUGUCGGGGUCGUGAGGGUCAUGACCGCCGCCCGCCUGCCCAGCCCACGGCCUGGGGCCCCUAACCACCACUGGUUAGGUCCGCCGCCGGCCGCGGGGGCGGGGUGCACUGCUGGCUUCAGCAUGAAGAUAUCAGGCCUCGCCCUGAGAUCCUGGCGGCCCGGCCCUUGUCCCCCCCGUCCCCGCCACAGGGCAGCACCCCAAGAUCCCUAGGGGCCCGCAAGUCCCCUCGGGUGCUGCAGGGCCCUGGGCAGGAGCACACAGCAGCUGAUCUGCUGCCCCUGCAGGCUCAGGCCUCCUGGGUCCAGCCCUGCAGAGCCCCGGGGCCGGGCCGGCAGCUGGAGACCCCCUAACCGAGUUAGGCGAGGGGCAGCGGAGCCCCAUGGCACACAGAGGCCUGUUGGAGUGGUCUCCUGUUCCAGUCCCUUCGAGUGGAUGGAGCCAGGCGGUGGCCAGACCCAGCUCAGUGGGCUGCACACCCUCAGCCCCUCUCUGAUCCUAAGCCCCUCUCUGCAUCCUCUUCUUGGCCUGGAGCCCCAUCUGACAGACGGCCGAGCUGAAGGCCAGACAGACUCGCGGGAGGCAGGCGGAGAGGGGCCUGGGGGGAGGGUUCCGGGCACGGCGCGGCCCGUGCAAAGGUCCUGAGGAGGAGAUAGCGAGGCCCUCCCAUGCUCACCCCCGCACGGGGCCCACGUCUGCUCGUGGCUCAUCCAGACACUGCCCCGGCCUCCUCCCUUCAUCCCACUGUCAUCCCCGCAGCCGGAAGGCUCUUGUGAAAACCUGAGAGGUUCGUGAGACACUCAAAGGGAAAGUCAGGUCCUCGGGGUGGCCACGGAGGCCCCCACGACCUCCCUGGCUCCCCGGCACACCCUGUGCUCCAGCCCCCGUGGUCUCCUCCCGCUCCUGCACACUCACCAGGGGGACUCCUGCCCCAAGACCUCAGCGUGGGCCAUGCCAUGCCAGGAACCCUCCUCCCGGGCCUCUGUCUCCCCGCCGCCCCUGGG